AAGGCUUAAAUAUCAAUAUUAAACUUAGCAAAUAUUUACAUACUAAAAAGUGAUGAAAAAAUCAAAUAUAGUCAAAAAUUAGGUGCUCACAGCUGCCCCUCUGUGCUUGAAAACAUGAAGAGUUUUCAGGGAAAGACAAGGUGAGCCAUGUGACUAAUAUUUGACCAAAUCUUUAUUCAAAAGGGAAAAUAAACAAUGGAAAGGGUGCAAUCGAGUCCUGAUUUUGGACAGCCUACAUAUCUUGGGUCAUAAGGGAAUCGGGUCGCGUGUAGUUCAAGGAGAAUGAUGGAAUGAUGAGUUCGAGAGUUUAGUAAGGUUCCGUCGAGGCUCCGGUCUGUGGUCCUGCUAUUACAUUAAAAUCAAAAUCAAAAGAAACUAAACAAGCCUAUCAGUUAUGAGUUACAAGAUUCAUAUUUAUAAGUCUUCUAAAAUUUGAUCUUGAGUCUUGACUGGUUCUUCACGCAGACUCUGUUCUGAACCUUGAUGCUUGCUAGCUGCAGGUGUUAGUUAAUUCUUCUAAGGCUUCUUCCGGUCAAAACGAGAAAUGCAAUGCUCGUGACUUCAGUCACGUCUUGAGCAUUCCACAUCUUUUCAUCUGCCUCUGCAUUUUGGAUUCACUUCUUUUUUAUUUUCUUUUUUUUUCUUUAUUCUGGAUUGAGACUUCUUCUUUUGAUCAUCUCGGACCUUCUUAGACACCAAAACAAACAAACAAACGAAAUUUUUCUGCCCCAGUUUUCACUAGAAAAAUUUUGUGAGUUAUUUGUAACAAAAACUCUAAACUACUUCAUUAUUGAAAGCAAUAAGAAUUUGGGAAUGGUGUACCCUCGGAAAACAUGAUUAUUUGGUAAUGUUGUACCCUAAUUUUCUAAAUAGUGCCUCAAUUAAGGAUUGGUGUACCUUAUGUUAGGGAAAUAUGAUGAGGGAAUGGUGUACCUUAUAUUUAGCAAAGAUAUCAGGGAGUGGUGUACCCUGCAUUUAAGAUAAAAUCAACUAGGGAGUGGUGUACCCUAUGUUGGAAAACACAGCUAGGGAUUGGUGUAUCCUAUACUGGUAAGGAGAUCAUGGAGUGGUGUACCCUGCAUUUAAGCUCACAUCAACUAGGGAGCAGAGACCCUAUGUUGGAAAAGGGAGACUAGGGAGUGGAGACCCUAUGUCUAAAAUAACAUCAACUAGGGAGUGGAGAUCAACUAGGGAGUGGAGACCCUAUGUCUAAAAUAACAUCAACUAGGGAGUGGAGACCCUAUGUCGGAAAAGGAGACUAGGGAGUGAAGACCUUAUGUCUAAAAUAAAUCAACUAGGGAGUAGAGACCCUGUGUUGGAAGAGGAGACUAGGGAGUGGAGACCCUAUGUCUAAAAUAAUAUCAACUAGGGAGUGGAGACCCUAUNNNNNNNNNNNNNNNNNNNNUGCAAUUAGGGAAAGAUGUACCAUAUACUAACAUGCGACUAUGUUUUCCUUUUUCUUUUUAUUUUUUGAGAAAAAUAUUUUUUUUAAAAAAACAAAUUAUCUUAAAGUUUAUUUCCUGAGGGCAUGAACAUUUUUUUUUAUAAGAUCUAGACUUCUUUUUUUUUUUUAAAACAAUUAUCCUAGGAGAAAAUUCAUAAGAUUAGGGAUUUUUUAUAUAUCUUAGGAGAAAGAUUCAUCAGUCUAAGACUUUGUAUCCUAGGAAAAAGUUCGCCAGAUUAGGGCUUUUUAUCUUAUGAGAAAGAUUCAUCGGACUAAGACGUCUAUCCUAGGAGAAAAUUCAUCAGACUAGGGAUUCUUAUCUUAGGAGAAAAUUCAUUAGACUAAGAUUUCUAUCCUAGGACAAAGUUCAUCAGACUAGGCUUUUUUUUUAAUCUUAGGAGAAUGAUUCAUCAGACUAAGAUUUCUAUCCUAGGAGAAAAAUUAUCAGACUAGAUUUUUCUUAUCUUAGGAGAAAGAUUCAUCAAACUAAGACAUCUAUCCUAGGAGAAAAUUCAUCAGACUAGGGAUUCUUAUCUUAGGAGAAAACUCAUCAGACUAAGACGUUUAUCCUAGGAUAAAGAUUCAUCAUACUAGGUUUUUUUUUCUUUGUUAUCUUAGGAGAAAGAUUCAUCAGACUAAGAUUUCUUAUCCUAGGAGAAAAUUCAUUAGACUGGGUUUUAUUUAUCUUAGGAGAAAGACUUAUCAGACUAAGACUUCUAUCCUAGCAGAAAGUUCAUCAGACUAGGUUUUCUUAUCUUAGGAGAAAGAUUCAUCAUACCAAGACUUUGUAUCCUAUGUGAAAAUUCAUCAGACUAGGUUUUGUUUUCUUUUUUAUCUUAGGAGAAAGUUUCAUCAGACUAAGAUUUCUAUCCUAGGAGAAAAUUCAUCAGACCAAGUUUUCUUAUCUUAGGAGAAAUAUUCAUCAGACUAAGACUUUGUAUCCUAGGAGAAAAUUCAUUUAUGAUUUUUAUCCUAGGAGAAAGUUUAUUAGACUAGGGCUUUUUAUCUUAGGAGAAUGAUUUAUCAGACUAAGAUUUUUAUUGGAAGGAAAGAUCCAUCAGACUAGGAUGCAUUACCCUAGGAGAAAAAUGUGAAGAGAAAUGAUAUGAUUUUAUGCAUUUUAGAAAGACAAAAAAAGGUAAAGAUUUGAGAAACUUCCCUUUGUCAGCUCUUCUCUUCUUUUCUUUUUCUUUUUCUUUACUUAAUUUUUUUUCAUUUUUCAACCCCCCCUACCCCCCCCCCCCCUUGUUUUUUUGAACCACUUUUCUUGCACUGCUUUGUUCCUGUUUCAAACAAAGAAAGUUUUUGUGAGUUUCAAAAGGAGGUGGUAAGUUUGUGACCUUGAUGUCUUUGGCAGCUUGGCCUUGUGCCCAUUCGCUUCUGGAAGACCGACUAUAUUGGUAGUUGGCUACACUGCUGGGAGACUCUGUUUUUUCUUUCAAGAGAUUUUUGCUCUUCGUAUCAAACUUGAUUGUUUCACACACAAUACCAUUUUGUGUUUGUGGCUCAAUCAACCUUAUCCCAAAAGGAUAUUUUGCUCUAGUAACCCUUUUUCUGAUUUUUUGAAUGGUUUUUGAUUUUUGAGCAAUUUGGUUGUCGGAGAGAAUCACAAUUGCAUAUGUGCCUUCCACAUGAUGUGCACACUCCAUAGUCUUUGUUUAGUACCACAAGGAACCCGUAAUCAAUCUUACGAUCUUUUCUUUGCUUGCUUUUGACAAGUAGGCCAACAUAAGUAUCUUUUGAGGGAAACUUCGUAUUGCACGAAUCCUCAACACAUGUCGAUUGCAAUAACUGAGUGCAUAUUACUCCCCAGACAGUGUUGUCUUGAAUGUUCCGGCCAGAAUUUGCUUUGUGCAACUGAAAAGCUGGUAGCAGAUUUUGAAAUCCUUUCUUACUUAUUUUAAUGAGGAUCGACUCAAACAAAGGACAUAAUGAUGCGAAGAAACAAUAUAAACAAGAAAUGCCCCUGUCGGAAAGGAACGACGAGCUUUUUGUUUUUGGUAAUUAGCCUUAAUGAUCAUGACAUGCAUUUUGGACUCAACGGCCUGAUCUAUCAAACUGAUCAAAUCUUCCCUUUUACCUUUCUUAUGACCUUUGAAGUCGGGCUUGUUCGUGCCAAUCCUUUGCAUCAGCUUCACGACUCACUUUCGACUAGUGGUGCCCCGAGGAAUUUUUACCAACAAGUCUCUCUCAUUUAUUUAUCUCUACUUACCGUUGUUUUACAGCGCCUGUGAGGGUUUUCACUAGUAAGACUUUCUUUUCUUGUUUUUUCUUUUCUUGAUUCCUUGAAUGAGAACCAUGACCAUGUCCUUCAUAUGACAACCAUUGCUCAUUGCGGAUUUCCCUUGCCAUUCUCAAAACUGAUCAGGAGGUCUUGUUUGGAAGGCUUCUGGAUAUGGUUAGAAAGAAAGGACAGAAUGAAGGCUCAAAGUAGACUCAAUAUGAUGGGUUGUACACUUACAACUCUUGGAAUCGACUCUUUCAAAAACUAAAACAAACUCAUGCCCUAGUUUUAGAUACUGGAUUUUUUUUUUUUUGGUUGGAUUCUUAUUUGGUCGGAUCGAACCGUGUAAGGCUGCCUACGUAUUCUUUUUUUUAAGGAUUCAGGUCAAACAUAGUUCAAGCAUCUGACCUAACUAUUUUUUUCAUCUUUCUUUAUGUUUCUCUGCCUUUUUUUUUCUUUUUUUUCCAAAACAAAUUGCCCCAGCUUUUAUUUUCUGGGGGUAUGGACCUUUGACUGAUCUUUUUUUUCACUUGAACUUUCUAAGAGUUUCCCUAGUUUAUACUCUUGGGGCAUGGUCUUUUCUUUUCUUUCUUUAUUUUUUGACUUAACUCGAAACUUGAUUCCAAAAGAGGGUGGUCAAAGAAAAUAACUCAAGCUCAAAAGGGGUAAGGAAGGGUAUAAAGUGUUUGGAUAGCAGAAAAAUGGCCUCCCAGCCUCGAGAACGCCAAACAUAGUAACUUUUGGCGAUCACCGGAUUGAAUGAACAUGUCUGUCUCUUAGUGUAUCAUGGUCGAAAGACAGUUUCCAUGCAUUAAUGUCAAACUUUCCACCAUCAAUUGAUUCUUCCUCAAACCCGAUCUUCACAAUGAUUUGAAGGUAAAGAUCGUUAACCUCCACGAGUAUGACUAUUCUAGUUCCACAUGAAUUUUGUUCGAGCUUAAUUCCAAGGUGUUUCGACUCUUUAUUAAUCAUCAAAAAUGUCUUUUUCUCAGUUAUCCAAUUCAACACUAGAUCAAUUUUAUAAAAGCCGGUCGAAAAUUCCAUACGCAUGUCAUGUCACUAAAACUAGCGGCGAAAGAAUUAAGCAUAGAAUGACACAAAGAGACAGGAUAACACAAAGGGACAAACUGUAUUUCAUUAAAUAAAGGAUGGAAGGAUUUGACAAUAAGACAAAUAAACUGAAAUCGGGUUUACAGCCCUGGAUAACCUAGAUAACAGAAAAUAUGGCAAAACAAGCUACCAAGACUCCUCUAUGUCUAAAAGAGGAGUGACUUUCCAGUUGCUAGGCGACAUCUUAGCCACAAAUUUGCAUAUCAGCACUACUACGGCAUUCAGUCUUUUUUAUUGCUUUUUAUUCAACACUCAAAUUUUGACUUUUUGAUCAAAUCGUUCCCAAUAUUGACUAUCGGAUUUCAGGACUGACGACAUGGGAGAUUUCAUAGCAACUAAUUUCCCAAAGGACUUGAAAGAUUUUCAUGUCUCUCCAUCAUCAAAUCAUCCCGAGCAGCGCAUAUCCUAUUGCUUAAACCUGGUAAAGUCAACCAACAUUUGCCUCCCUUUUUGAUUUUUCACGACCAACUUGCCUAGUUUCCUUUUCGUGACCUUGGAUCAAACAGUGGUGCUUGUUCCAUUAGUUGAGAAGAUAUUUUUAUUUCUGAGGAACCUUGGAUUGUUUUUGUGACUCGCCAUUGCAAACCAACAAACCGACCACCUUUAACCAGGUUUUAUUUCAAAACAACAAACAUGUUAGAAUGAACACUCUUUCUUUUUCCUUUUCUCUUUUCUUUUUUUUUUCUUUCUUUCUUUUCUCUCUUUUUUUUGUUUUUUUUUUUAACCAUUCAAUCGAACCUGCUAUGGGUUGCCUACGUAUCAUGCAGGAACAUGAAUCAGAUCUUGCGUAGUUCAGAAAGAUCAGAAAUAAAGUAAAUAAAUUAACCCUUUUUUGAAUUUUGAAUUUUAUUUAUAAUUUCCGAAAGAAAGACUUAUAAAGAAGAAAGAAAAUAUUUUUGAAUUUUGAUUUUUUUUUAUUUUUUAGUUUUUUGAGAAUUUUUUAAAAGAAAGACUUUUAAAUAAGAAAGAAAAUAUUUUUGUUUUAUUUUUUUUGAAUUUUGAUUUGUUUUCUUUUUUUGGAAUUUUGAAAGAAAAACUUCUAAAAAAGAAAGAAAAUAUUUUUAAAUUUUUGAACUUUUAUUUUGAAUUUAUGAAAGAAAAACUUCUAAAGAAAAAAGAAAAUAUUUUUGAAUCUUGAAUUUUCUUCUCAAUUUUCGAAACAAAAUCAGCAACACAGACACUGAAAUGCCAAAUAAAGGCAGAGUGAAGACGAGAAGAAUUCAGCAAUGCAUAAUCAGCAACACAUCUUCAAUUUAGGUCCAAAAUCGACUCAAAGCAACCAGAUAUUAUUGAAACAAAGGAGUAGAAAUCAGUCCAGCCUUUGAAAUUCCCUUUUCUACACUUUUCCCCUUUUUGAUAUUUUUGUUAUCCUAAAUCUCAGAUCUCAGUUAAUAUUUUUUAAAUUUUUAAAGUUUUUACUCAUAGCUUUGAAUAUGAAGAGCUUUCAAGUCCGUGAAGUGUGUGAGUGAAUGAGAGGAGUGAGAAUUUUUGUGUGAGCGAGAUGAGAGAGAAUGUGUGAGUAAGAAUGAAUGAACAAUCUAUCAAUGUGUAUUAUGUUAUAUAGAAAAUGCAGAGAAUCUUUUCAGUUAUUUCCUUUCUCUUUCAUCCCUCUUCUUUUGUUAUUUUCCCCUUUACCCCCGACCCCUUCCCUCUUUUGUUUGCUAAACAUGUCCUUUUUAAAUUAUUCCUUUUCCUCUAACCCUUCUGCCCCUUUGUUCCUAAACUCGAAUCCAAUGGGCCUGCCUUAUAGGGAGACGCAAAUUUCUUAAUACCCAAUAAUCAACAAAACAUUAUCAAUCAAUUUCAAAUUCCGAUUAAACAACAAUUACUACAGCGAUUAAAACAAAUUGGAAUAUGCAAUCACGUAAUUUGGCUAAUGAUCAAUGUAAUCAAACAGUUCCUCUUUACUUUUCAAACUAUGCCUACUAAUAAUUAAACUAACACAUUAACACCUAAAACCACGACAUCUGUGAAUAAUAAUGAAGAAACAAAAUUAAGGAAAAGAAACUUACAGUCGAUAAGACCCAAAAGCCAAGGAGAUGAUUCAAAACACCGGCGUUUCAAUGUUUAACGGUAACGAUCUUUGUCUAAUGAACAUUGAUCUGGACCCUUGAUGUCCGAUAAGUGUUUCAUUGGACAAAGCCCGUUGAGGUUCAACGGAGUUUGACAGAUACAAAAGAUUCCGACGGCCUAGAAACAGAUCGAAUACUAAUACCAAAUUGGAAUACACAACAAGGAGGGUUAAUUGGUGCACGUUUCGACCUCGAGCAAGCUGAGAUUUAGGAGAAAACAAGAAGGGGAUGGAUUAGAUUUUUGGUUUGGUUCUUAGAUCUAAAAAUCAUGAAACUAUGAGGACCUUAAGAAAAAUCCAAUGGAAGAUUAAGAGAGAGAGGGAGAUGGAGAUCACGUGUCGAAAAUUUUGGGAUGUUUGGAAGUCGGCCGCCGCCGUGGGCGAUUUUCAGCGGCGGCGUUGGACAGAGAAACAGUGGUGAGAGAAGAGGGUGUUCUGAGAGGCUUUUGGGGGUAGGGACUUGGUUCGUACAGUUAUAUGGGGAAGAAGAGUUAGUUCCCAGUCGUUCGAUCAAGAAGAAUGAAUGGCCGAGAUUACGCACGCCAAAAACGACGUCGUUUGGUAGUCUCUUGGAGACGAGGCGAAGGGAUCGGGUCUGGAGUGAUUUGGGCAAAGGUUUGGGCCUGAAACAAUGGCCCAGUCCGGUUUUUUAACCCACCAAUUCCCAUUUCCCUCUUUGUUUUGAUUUUCAAC
Molecule: long non-coding RNA, 7542 nt
Filed under: Nicotiana tabacum (common tobacco)
Lineage: Eukaryota; Viridiplantae; Streptophyta; Magnoliopsida; Solanales; Solanaceae
Description: long non-coding RNA (NTAB_LNC006478)
Source: RNAcentral